UCCCGCCCGUCUGGGUUGAUUGUCUCGAUCGCCUCGUUCGUACCCUGAAUAAUCCUGAAUAGCCUCCUUUCCACUGUUCCUCCCCCAGGUUUUAUAUAAACCUCCCCCAGACUCUUCACAUCCUGCUGCUGACUUCCAACCUACCUCUUUCAACAUACCACCAUACCAUAUUAUCAUUACAUAUCUUAUGGCAGAAGCCAUCCGAGAAAUACCUCAACUGCUGCUACUACUCCACAUCCACAUCCACAUCCACCACACAACACUGCUACUACCUCCAGCAAAAUGUGGUACGGAUUCAGCUUCAAUAGCACGCUCUCCUCGCCAUCUGGCUCACCCUCCUCUCUUCCUCCACCUCCUCCGCCAUCUCCCAACGACUCUCUACUUGAUAUUGCUCCCCGCAAAAGCUCUUUCUCCAUGACAUCGGGCAGAAACACAUCAUGCGCCUUUCCCUCCUGGCCCAACCGGUCUUCCCUCUUUUCUGACUCAGACUCCACAGCCAGCGCCUACCUGUCAGACGAGGAUCUCUUUCCCACGUCUCCUUCACCAAGCUCUGAGUCAGCCUUUGAAGAGGAUGCCGUUUCGUACCACCCGGUCUUUGGAGCCGGAGAGCUGACCACAGAGGAGCAAAUCUCCAUGAUCAACGGAGCAGCAGAGCAGGAAGAGCGACGACAAAGAUAUCUUGCCAAUGCUCAUGCCCAGCUCCGUGCACAACAAGCAGUACGAGCCGCCCAAAUACUAGCUGCUGAGCAACAGAGCGGGAAACGAAGAAAGCGACGCGUGGUUACGGACAAGAAGCGGAGAACUGCCUCAUCAUCUUCCUCUUCGAAUUCCACCAAGUCGCCCUCUGGUUGAGUUGACGUGUGCUCAAUGUUUACUUUUCUUGUCACAUGUAUUAACUCGACACAUUUCCCAUUUAUCUACCUUCCAACAUAACCUCCAGCCUUACCACCUCCAACCCGACAACGAAGCAAAGCACACCAACAUCUGUUACUGAGGAAGGAAGAACUUUUGAGUGAGCAUAUGCAUGGAAUGUGCAUUGGCUCGCUUGUUUCGAUCCCGAGUGUAUCAUUGGUUUUUUUCCCCGAGCAAGAGGAGAGACUCUAGGAAACGAACACGGCAUUAACUUUUUAAUUUUCCUCGGAAUUUUCUGCAAAGACGUCAUGUGAAAGAGCGGUGUCGCGGACCCGAAGGAAUUACUCGGGAGAGACAAGACGCAAUGCGUUUUCGCGCGUUAUUCGAGCGUCACAACUUCAUCCAAUCCGGAAACCUCACCGUGGUCAUGAUUCCACUGUGACGGAGCCAACCUCCCCUGACUUCUUCUUUCCUUACCGCCCUUUAUUCGAACACACAUCUUUUCACCAAUACCAUUUGAAGUGAGAAAAAUAUUAACUUUUUUUCUCUCGUUCUUGGGGUUUCGGGGUCCCUUGUCCAUGUCGGAUUGGCAGGUGUGACUUGCAUGUGGCAUGGAUGUGACGUGACGUGACGGAACGAAACUCAAAAAUGUUCGAUAGUAGGAAGAACGGAUUCCGACUUGACCUCAGCCAGUCGUUUGGUUACAGUUGGUCAGCCUUCAGUCCAGGUUGACAUACAUUACGCCAUUAUUUUUUUCAUUGCCCCUUACACCGCCCACUGCCGAACAGGGCCUGAUGAGGAAUCGGAUGUCGAGUUUAUUUUUUAUGGCGGUGGUGACUCAUUUAUUGGAGGUGUGGGUUGGCCACUUUGUCAGCGUCGGCUGUCAUCUGAACUAUUUUUGUUUCUCAGUCGGACGCGAAGCCUGCAUGCAUAUUGGCUGGCGGGGCGGGUGAUUUUCUCCCUUGCUGCCCGAUGCGAGGAAAUCGAUGUUUGUCGUUGGGUUUCUUAUGGAGGUUGUGUUUCACCCCACGCAUCCCUUGCGGCUUGGCCCCGUUCUUACUCAGCCUAUAACCGCGCCCCAAGCAAGUCAUCCGCUGGCUGCGCAUCGCCCUACCGCCCCGGCACUUCCUCACCGCCUGUUGCCUAUUGCCUAUUGUUGCUGUUCACGUCUUGAAUCAUCAGCAGCAGCAGCAGCAACAACAGCAGCACUGUUCACUCUCUGCCUAUCCUUCCCCCACGCCUUGACUUCCCCCUCACCUUUCUGCCUGAAUUUUUAUUUUGCGCGUGGUGUUACCUUCGGCAUUCGGCCUUUGAUCUCUUUUUCCCUCUCUGAUGUACCAAGCACAGCGGAGCGCAGUGUUGGGGGAACCCUAUUAUUUUCUUGUCCAUAUCUUGUUCGGCGCCUCAUUUUUAUUCAUUUUGUCCUUUUCUGUUAUGCAUUAUACCCCCCCCGAACCAAUUUGGUAUCGAUUUGUUUUUGAUUUGUUUUCGCUACUCUGUUCAUCGAUCGCAGCUGUGCUGGUGAAAUCGACUUUUUCAUUUUUUAUUUUCACUUCUUCACCUCCUCUUCUUCCCCACUUUUAGCUCCCGAGCGACUAUGAGAUCAUCGUUCUGGACUCUGCAGAUGGCUGAAUGAUGGGAAGUACUUUUUUCGAUUUCUCCUAAUGGUCUCCUGCUGGGAUCACAUUCGAAAGCAACGAGCUUGCUGGGGUUUUAUUUUUUUUUUCCCUCCUUGACUGGGUUGCAUUAUUGCAUAGCAUUGCAUCACACAUUGGGCAACGGUCGAAAUUUUUAAUAUGCUUUUUUACACAUUCAGCGCACAUAAACAUCAAGAAGACUCUGUACGGUGCGUACAGGUUCCCAUUUAGCUAGCAAUAGUUAGGCGGAAAUAGCAGAAUAGGGCAUCAGGAUGGGAUUAGCCUGUCUUGAAUCGAUAUUUGCUCCUUCAAACGAAGCAAAGGAAAAAUAAUAUAAUACACAAUACAGAUAAAUACCAU
RNAcentral lists this small RNA (2849 nucleotides) under Histoplasma capsulatum var. duboisii H88. RNAcentral's name for it is "Histoplasma capsulatum H88 hypothetical RNA". Lineage: Eukaryota; Fungi; Ascomycota; Eurotiomycetes; Onygenales; Ajellomycetaceae. The record is from RNAcentral.